GAUGAACGCUGGCGGCGUGCCUAAUACAUGCAAGUCGAGCGAACAGACGAGGAGCUUGCUCCUCUGACGUUAGCGGCGGACGGGUGAGUAACACGUGGAUAACCUACCUAUAAGACUGGGAUAACUUCGGGAAACCGGAGCUAAUACCGGAUAAUAUAUUGAACCGCAUGGUUCAAUAGUGAAAGACGGUUUUGCUGUCACUUAUAGAUUGAUCCGCGCCGCAUUAGCUAGUUGGUAAGGUAACGGCUUACCAAGGCAACGAUGCGUAGCCGACCUGAGAGGGGGAUCGGCCAAACUGGAACUGAGAAACGGUCAAGACACCUACGGGAGGCAGCAGUAGGGAAUCUUCCGCAAUGGGCGAAAGCCUGACGGAGCAACGCCGCGUGAGUGAUGAAGGUCUUCGGAUCGUAAAACUCUGUUAUUAGGGAAGAACAAAUGUGUAAGUAACUAUGCACGUCUUGACGGUACCUAAUCAGAAAGCCACGGCUAACUACGUG
This 497-nucleotide ribosomal RNA is filed under the name uncultured bacterium. Its description in RNAcentral is "partial 16S ribosomal RNA". It matches the Rfam family "Bacterial small subunit ribosomal RNA", at positions 28 to 507 of the family's 1533-position model. The record is from RNAcentral.